AAGGAGGGAACGUCCAUCUCAUCCAUCCUCCUACCGUCCCCUCAUUCUUGCUUCUCCUAAUGAUAGCGUGCACGUUGUGCCCCCUUCGAUGCACCGCGUCGACUGCACCAGCAACAACAACAACAACUACGACGGCCGACAACAACGCGACCGACCGCUGCUCGACGAAUAUAUACACCGAGAAACGACGGUGAAGGCGAACCUAACUACCAGAGCACGCCUCCGCCUCCGUGCACUAAAACAUUACCACGCCGCCAGCGUCGGCUGCCGUUCCUGCUACCUUGUAGGGUAUCAUCCGAGGUUGACCCGCGCAGGAUCGCGACACGAUUAUCUGUGACCACGUCUUUGGAGCGAACUUCGAUUUCGCGAAGUGGAAAACACCGUUGCUUUCCUUUUCCGAACGCCGAUUUUCGUGACAUUCGAAGAUAUGCACCAAUAAAUACGGAGAACACGUGACGCGAACAGAAUUUUAAUGACGCCGAGUUAAUAACCUUGUCUCCCCAAUCUUCUUUGCCACGAAGCAAGACAGAUUUCCAAGGAAUCCUCUGGUCGACAUUAAUUCACGAUUUCACAGAAACGCGUGAAAGAAAGCACGACAUGCACGGGUCACCGGCGGUGACUAACGAAUCCGCGAAACGUGUAUCGAAUGCCGGAUAUAAAAACAAAAUUAAUCAAACAUCCGAGUCGAAGCGAGGAGACGCGAGUCGAAUCGGUAACCCGCGCCACGAAGACGAAUCGAAUACCCCAAAGCAGUGACCGCGCAUGGAACGCAAUCUCCGGGUAAAAUUAGUCGAGUCGAAUGCUCGAAUCAAACCGAGGAAGCGCCUCUAAAUCGACCAUUAAACCAAAACAGACUUGAAAAACCAAAAAAGAAGCCAAGAAUAGAAAUAAAAGCAAUUUCAUCCUCUAACUCUGGCUGUCUCGAAAUUCAAUUUAUCGAAACGGAAACGACGGACGUACCGUGAUGGGGACUUGCGUUCUCUUCUGGUCGUCCCGUCCUUUUCUCCAGUUUUUGCGCGUCGCUUCUCCCGGGCGGAGUUUUUGCGAGCGCUGGGCCAAGGCUCGUUUCUCGAGCACUCGCGGACCAACGACGCGGAGUACGUGACAACGAUAAUCAGCGAGCUUAAGUGGGGUUUAAUUUCCCUUGGCGCGGGCGGUGGAGAAAGGUGCCGGUGAACCAAGG
RNAcentral lists this unclassified non-coding RNA (1183 nucleotides) under Bombus terrestris (buff-tailed bumblebee). RNAcentral describes it as "misc RNA ENSBTSG00005031627.1". Lineage: Eukaryota; Metazoa; Arthropoda; Insecta; Hymenoptera; Apidae. The record is from RNAcentral.